Molecule: long non-coding RNA, 1158 nt
Organism: Megalobrama amblycephala (Wuchang bream)
Lineage: Eukaryota; Metazoa; Chordata; Actinopteri; Cypriniformes; Xenocyprididae
Exons: 4
Source: RefSeq, a predicted model, not a curated record
CAAGCACAGCACAUCCUACAACAAGCACAGCACGUACUACUACAACAGCCACCACAGCACAUCCUACAACAACAACGACAACAACAACAACUACCACAGCACAAACUACUACAACCACCAGAGCACAUCCUACUACAACAGCCACGACAAGUAUUUCCAUUGUAACCUCUACUCUGCCAGAUAUCAGAAGUAUGUCAGGACAUGUCUCGUGGCUUUCAGUAGUGCUGGUUUUCACUGGUGUUGGUUUAUUUCUGUCUGGACUCAUGGGAUUCAUCUGUCUCUGCCACUUUGACAGUUCUGAUGAUCUUCUCACAGAGGUGAACUACAGCUCCUGCCAGGUGGAAACAACAUCUCUGUUAACUUCCUCUGUGUGCUCCAAAAAACAUGGAUGAACCGCUUCAUUUCUUCACUUGGUGCACCUCUAAAGAGAAAAAAUUAUUAGUUCAGAAAUAAUGAUAGUAGCCUAUAUUUACAUUAUUUAGCUACUGAAUUCAUUAACUGUAGCUGAAAGCAUCUUCAAGUCAUCUGUAGUAUUUAGUGAUGCAGAUUUAGUGACAGAUAUUAAGCAUCAAAAAUAUUAAAUCAAAAUUUUUGUGCCUUGCUUAUUCAGUUUGUAUUCACUGUAAAAAAAAUUAUUGAAAUUUUAACUGUAAAAAUGCUACAGUAGAAAACUGUUAAUUGUUUAACUGUAAGUUCCUUACUAUGUAUAGGGGGAAAAUUCUAAUAGAUCUAACAUAUAAUAAACAACAUCUGCAAAGUUACAACGCUCAAAGUUCAAUGCAAAGGGAGAUAUUUUCUUUUAAAGAAUUCUCUGUUUCACUUUAAGAUAGUUACCUCCAUAUCAGCUACAUAAAUUCACCAACUAACCAUUCAGAAACGUCCUGUUGCAUUCUACAUGUCACUUCUUCCUGAUUCUCUAUAAUUGUCCGCUGCUUGUUUGAAACGGUUUCUGACAUUUUAAGUGAGUCUGCAUGAGAUAAUUAGUGCUGCUAACAGGAACUCUUGAAACUCCACCCUCUUCUUGAGAGCAGCAGCUAAUUUGCAUUUAAAGGGACACACACAAAAACUGAGCUUUUUUGCUCACCCUCAAAAAGUGACAAAUUUAAGAUGCUAUAAAAAAUAUCUGAGGUAUUUUGAGCUAAAACUUCACAUACACAC